UCCAAUUGAAGCAGAGGACAGUGGCGGACGGGUGAGUAACGCGUGAGGAACCUGCCUUGAAGAGGGGGACAACAGUUGGAAACGACUGCUAAUACCGCAUGAUGCAUAGGGAUCGCAUGAUUCUUAUGCCAAAGAUUUAUCGCUUCAAGAUGGCCUCGCGUCUGAUUAGCUAGUUGGCGGGGUAACGGCCCACCAAGGCGACGAUCGGUAGCCGGGCUGAGAGGCUCUUCGGCCACAUUGGGACUGAGAUACGGCCCAGACUCC
Molecule: ribosomal RNA, 264 nt
Filed under: uncultured Oscillibacter sp.
Lineage: Bacteria; Bacillati; Bacillota; Clostridia; Eubacteriales; Oscillospiraceae
Description: partial 16S ribosomal RNA
Rfam family: Bacterial small subunit ribosomal RNA
Source: RNAcentral